AGAGUUUGAUCAUGGCUCAGAAUGAACGCUGGCGGCGCGCCUAAUACAUGCAAGUCGAGCGAGAAGACGUAGCAAUACGUUUGUAAAGCGGCGAACGGGUGAGGAAUACAUGGGUAACCUACCCUCGAGUGGGGAAUAACUAGCCGAAAGGUUAGCUAAUACCGCGUACGCUCCUUGAACUUCGGUUCAGGGAGGAAAGCGCUACCGUGGGUAGCGCGCUCUUGGAUGGGCUCAUGUCCUAUCAGCUUGUUGGUGAGGUAACGGCUCACCAAGGCUUCGACGGGUAGCUGGUCUGAGAGGACGACCAGCCACACUGGCACUGCGACACGGGCCAGACUCCUACGGGAGGCAGCAGUAAGGAAUAUUGCGCAAUGGGCGAAAGCCUGACGCAGCGACGCCGCGUGGGGGAUGAAGGUCUUCGGAUUGUAAACCCCUUUCGGGAGGGAAGAUGGAAUGGGGUAACCCAUUCGGACGGUACCUCCAGAAGCAG
RNAcentral lists this ribosomal RNA (490 nucleotides) under uncultured Nitrospira sp. Its description in RNAcentral is "bacterial SSU rRNA". It matches the Rfam family "Bacterial small subunit ribosomal RNA", at positions 8 to 490 of the family's 1533-position model. Lineage: Bacteria; Pseudomonadati; Nitrospirota; Nitrospiria; Nitrospirales; Nitrospiraceae. The record is from RNAcentral.